This is a long non-coding RNA of Homo sapiens (human), 971 nucleotides long. RefSeq lists it as uncharacterized. The transcript is spliced from 5 exons. Lineage: Eukaryota; Metazoa; Chordata; Mammalia; Primates; Hominidae. The record is from RefSeq and is a predicted model, not a curated record.
AUUUGUACACAGGACACAUAUUUAUUCUUUUAAGUUUAGAUUUUACUGAGAAAUGAGGACCUUAUCUGGACUUCACUGGGAGAAUUAUGAGUGGCCAGAGAUACUACAUUUUGAGCUGGAUGCCAGACCUUGAAAGAACUCUGCAUUUUUCAUUUUGAGAGAAGUCAGUGUGUUUUAUAAUGGGAGGAAGAUUAAAGCAGGUAUUUUGGCAUCAGAAGGACUGACCUUGACAGAGAUUGGUGAGGUAACAUUAUUUCCUUCUUUGGACCACAAGAAAAUGCUGUAUUUUUCAGCCUCAAUUGCAGGUUACUUCCUUGCUCCUGAAAAUGAUGAUGUUCUAUUUUCUACUAUUUGUGUCUAAAAAUUUAAACAGGUCCUGAGAAGAGGAUUAGAAAAAGGCAACACAUCAAAAAGUUAAGAGGCAGAAAUAGCUUUUAUGUUGCUGGUAAAUUUAAUGAGAUCUUAAGUUAUUCGACUGGCAAGUCUCAUCUCUUUGAGCAUCUCAGUGAAGACUGUCAGAAAUCAUCAAAAUUCAACACAACAGAGUAAAAGCUAAUAGCCUUUUUGUUAUACCAAAACUGAAAGGAUUGAUGUUCUUAAGUAACAAAAAGCAAUAAAGAUAAAAUACAGGACAUCAAAGAUAUCACAUACAUUCAUAUAUCUCAAGAAAUGAAAGCAAUGAAAGAGCUGUGGAUACAGAGCUGCUUGGAUCAAUGCCUGAUUCUAGGUGCAUGCGGCAGAAAGAACAAAAUGGGUCUGAGACAUCUGUUGUUGUUAAGAAAAUAAGGAAGUCUCAACUAAUGAUGGAGACAUGCCAAAGAACAUAGGAGCUAACUAGAAGUGGCUCUCAGUGACACAAACUGAGAUAAAUUGAGCAAGGGAAUAAAUAAUGAUGGCAAUAGAUUAUUCAGAUUAAUUAAACCAAAUACACAUGAAUCCACACUAAUAUAAAUAAAUAAUUGGAUAAAUAA